Molecule: transfer RNA, 73 nt
Filed under: Yinghuangia aomiensis
Lineage: Bacteria; Bacillati; Actinomycetota; Actinomycetes; Kitasatosporales; Streptomycetaceae
Also listed under: 4 other names
Description: tRNA-Lys
Rfam family: tRNA
About the family: Transfer RNA (tRNA) molecules are approximately 80 nucleotides in length. Their secondary structure includes four short double-helical elements and three loops (D, anti-codon, and T loops).
Source: RNAcentral
GGGCCGCUAGCUCAAUUGGCAGAGCAGCGGACUUUUAAUCCGCGGGUUCAGGGUUCGAUCCCCUGGCGGCCCA